Molecule: ribosomal RNA, 429 nt
Filed under: bacterium
Lineage: Bacteria
Description: partial 16S ribosomal RNA
Rfam family: Bacterial small subunit ribosomal RNA
Source: RNAcentral
UAGGGAAUCUUCCACAAUGGACGAAAGUCUGAUGGAGCAACGCCGCGUGAGUGAAGAAGGGUUUCGGCUCGUAAAACUCUGUUGUUAAAGAAGAACAUAUCUGAGAGUAACUGUUCAGGUAUUGACGGUAUUUAACCAGAAAGCCACGGCUAACUACGUGCCAGCAGCCGCGGUAAUACGUAGGUGGCAAGCGUUGUCCGGAUUUAUUGGGCGUAAAGCGAGCGCAGGCGGUUUUUUAAGUCUGAUGUGAAAGCCUUCGGCUCAACCGAAGAAGUGCAUCGGAAACUGGGAAACUUGAGUGCAGAAGAGGACAGUGGAACUCCAUGUGUAGCGGUGAAAUGCGUAGAUAUAUGGAAGCACACCAGUGGCGAAGGCGGCUGUCUGGUCUGUAACUGACGCUGAGGCUCGAAAGUAUGGGUAGCAAACAGG